Arachis stenosperma is the source of this 1056-nucleotide long non-coding RNA. RefSeq lists it as uncharacterized. The transcript is spliced from 6 exons. The record is from RefSeq and is a predicted model, not a curated record. Lineage: Eukaryota; Viridiplantae; Streptophyta; Magnoliopsida; Fabales; Fabaceae.
UCGCUAAACUUUUCUCACUCUCUCCGGUGGACUACUCUUCAACACAUCGCAUUCCGUUUUACCAUACCUCUCUUGACUGCAAGAAUGUUGUCAUUGUUCCCAUUCUCACGAAUCAUGUUAAGGUACGCUCUUCUUCAAAUCCCAAAUUCUGUUCCUCAUUCCGCUCUCGGUCUUUGCUUCCCUUCAACUUCAUCCCUACACUCUCACUCUCACUCUCAGCCCCAAUCGCUUGAUGAAGCUGUUGAUUCCUUCACUCGCAUGCUCUUUAUGUGUCGCCCUCCAUCCAUCCUUCAAUUCCCCAAGAUUUUGGGAUCUCUUGCCAAGACCAACCAUUGCCCCACCGCCAUUUCCCUUUUUCAGCAAUUGCAAUCCAGGCUUCUGCAAAUUCCAAUCUUUUACUGUCAUUCAAAGCCAAACUGAGCAAAGUUUCAUAUGCAAAGAAGAUGGAGAAGAAAAGAGAGAUUGUGGAGCUGUAUAGGGAGAGGCUGGACAACACUCUUGCCUCACCUCAUAUGACAAAUUAUCACAUGCUCAAAAACCUUGUUCAGACUCAACUCUUGCAUUCUUCAAAACAACAAGAAUUCUACCAAGGUGAAGGUGCCGAUAGCUUAAGGUGAAGAAAGAAAAUUCCUAGAAGAAAAUGAGCUAAGGGAAAAGAAAAGAAAAGCAGCAGCAUGAAGCCAACACUCCAUUUCUUUCAAAAUGGAAAAAAGGCUGAUGAACUUAUAGGUGCCGAUGUUGCAUGAUUGAACUAUAUUACAGAGAAACUCUUCAAGAAGGACUGAUGGUUUUCAGAGGUGGGAAUGGCUGAUGGUUGAUGAAGUACAAAAUGAUCAAACUGCAACUGCUUAAUAUUUUAUUUUUUUUUAAAAUAUUAUUCACAGUCAUCAUUUUAUUCUAUUUCAAAUUUCCAUGAGAGAAGAGAGAAUAUGCAUACAUGUUUAGGACAUGGGACAUAUGCAUUUACAUGUAGAAUAUCGUUGAGCCUGAAGUUUCAAGAACUUGUGUCACUUAUUUUUACACUUAAUAAUAGUUUUCGAGCUUUAUUUUUCAGAA